AGUUACGUUGAUAAUUAACUCGCUUGUUGGUUCUGCGUGGAAGUGUCGUUUUUUUCGAUCUAAUCGAUGGGUAUUUUUUUUCUUUUUUCUUUUUUUUUUCUUGCAGAGUUUUUUUUAUUGAAUCUUUUUUGAAGAAGUUUUGACGAGGCUCGAACCCGUGAUAGCAUUUUCUAUACUUUAAUGGAUUUUUAUUUUUUUUUCUUUUUUUCAUCAAUAAAUUCUUAUUUAUAUAUGAGUUAUAUACUAAUGAAUAGCAUAUUGAUUCCCCAUGUACGUGUGUGUAUAGAUAUAGGGUUAGGUUAUUGUAAUAUUGUUAUUUUUUAUAAGACGUAAGAUUAAUGAAUAAAUCAAUGUAUAUAGUGUUGAAUAA
Molecule: long non-coding RNA, 370 nt
Filed under: Salvia miltiorrhiza (redroot sage)
Lineage: Eukaryota; Viridiplantae; Streptophyta; Magnoliopsida; Lamiales; Lamiaceae
Description: long non-coding RNA (SMIL_LNC003388)
Source: RNAcentral